Long non-coding RNA from Heterocephalus glaber (naked mole-rat), 2008 nucleotides. RefSeq lists it as uncharacterized. The record is from RefSeq and is a predicted model, not a curated record. Lineage: Eukaryota; Metazoa; Chordata; Mammalia; Rodentia; Bathyergidae.
GAUCCUCUCUUCCUUGCCCGGCUCCUGAAGCCUGGCCUGUUGGUCCCGCCGAGGCUGCCAGUGGCACCCCAAGGCACUCUGGGCAGAGGUUCCACUGCUCGCAGCCCAGCAGGCAAACGCUAGAACUCGCUAGCUCCUUUAUCGUUUCAAGAUGCGAAUGAAGCGUCCUCCUGUGGGGCUUGGGAGAUGGCUUCCAUGGCAACUGCCACAGAGGUGACAGGUCCGAGAAGCGUGGGAGAAUUCGCUUCCUGAGGUUAAACCAAGGACAGCUAGAAGACCGGAGGAAGUGAAAGAUCCAUCUCCCCUCCCCCGCCCUCGGAGCGCUUGUUCCGAGGAUGGUUCUUUGUACUGCCUGUGCUGUUAACAUGCUGACUUGUUUUUCUAUCCCAUCCUUUCCUGUCUUCAGUUUGUCUUUCUUCCCCUUUGGCACCUUGAAUUUGCGUAUCACCAAAAUUGUUAGCAUGCAAUCUCUGUAUGGGGUUCUCUUUUCUAGGAGACAUGACUGACUUACGAUGUUCAUCAUUCAGAGGUAACUGAUGGAUUUGAGAUUUUCUUUUCCUAUUUGAUUCAUCUUAAAUUGGCUUCUGCAGAGGAUGUGAGGAUUUGGAUUUUCUAAUGCAGGGAGACCAGUAUUGAGUAAGAUCUGUGCCUAUGGAAGUAUAUGCUAGUGGAAUCACAUGAUCCUAGGGUUGGAAGUUGCCUUGCUGGUGCAUGAUCAUCUACCUCAAUCCAAAGGAUUUGAGCAUUACUCUCCAACUACAAAAGACCUCCGAACUGAGAAGGAAUGAAUCUCUGACCCAUUUGUGAAUAAGCCAGGGUUUUCCACAGUGACGGCAGCCAAAACGAGAUUAUGGAUCAGUCUAAACAUAAGCAGCACACUUCGGGUGUCACUGUCCUUCAUCACCCUCAGAUGGGAUCAUUGAGUAGCAGGAAAUCAAGCUCGAGACUCCCACUGAUUCUGCAUUGUGUGAGGUGUGCAGUUAUUUCAUAAUCUAUUACAACAUAAUAAAAAUACAAAUAAAGCCUACAAUAAAUAUAAUGUACUUGAAUCAUUCUCCAUUAAUGGAAAAGUUGUCUUCCAUGAAACCAGUCCCUGGUGCCAAAAAAUUUGAAGAUUUCUGGCCUAAAAUAUAAUCUACCCUGGAGAAUGUUCCAUGUGCACUUGAGAAAAAUGCUGGGGAGAAUGUUGCAUGUGUGUAUGUCUGACUAUUAUGUCCAUUUAAUCUAUAGCAUUCACGUCUACUGUCUGUUGAUUUUCUGUCUGGAUAGUCUAUCCAUUGUUGAAAGUGGUUAUAAUGAAGGUUACUAUUACUGUAUUCCUAUUUCUCAUUCAGUUCUGCUCCUAUUUGCAGUAUAUAUUCAGCAGUUCUGAUGUUAGAUGCAUAGAUAUUUACAGCUGCUAUAUCCUGUCAAGGAACUGAUCCCUGUGUCAGUACCUAAGAACUUUCUUUUCCUCUUGCGACAGUGUUUGGCAAAAGGCUAUUUAAUCUGACAUAAGUAUAGCCACCUCUGCUUUCUUCAGGUUACAUUUGCAUGAAAUAUCUUUUUCAUCUCUUCACUUUAUACUACUUGUGUCUUUAAUGCUAAAGUGAGUCCCUUUGGGGCAGAGUAUAGUUGAGUGUUUUUAAAAAAUAUAUUGUACGUUGUAUUUUAAAAUGCACUUAAAAUACAUUAUAAAAUACCAGAAUUCAUUCUGUUUCUUUUGAUCAAAGGUUUUAAUAAAGUUAUAUUUAAAAUAAUUAUUGACAUGUAAGAAUUUACUACUGUAAUUUUGUUAACUAUGUUUUUACUAUUUUGUAGUGUCUUUGUUCCCCAGUUUCUGUAUUGUUCUUCAUUCUUUUGUGAUUUGAAUACUUUUUGUAGUUCUACAAUUUGAUUUCUUUAUCAUUGUUUGAAGUAUCUGCUACAAGGUUUUUUCUUUGUGCUUACAAUGAAGCUUACGUAAAGCAUCUUAAAACAGGCAAUUUUAAGCUGAUAAGUUUAAUUACAUACAGAAACUACACAUUAA